RNAcentral lists this ribosomal RNA (521 nucleotides) under uncultured bacterium. RNAcentral's name for it is "bacterial SSU rRNA". It matches the Rfam family "Bacterial small subunit ribosomal RNA", at positions 28 to 534 of the family's 1533-position model. The record is from RNAcentral.
GAUGAACGCUGGCGGCGUGCUUGAUACAUGCAAGUCGAACGGAGAGUGUAGCAAUAUACUUUUAGUGGCGAACGGGUGAGUAACGCGUUGGUGACCUGCCCCGAAGCGAGGGAUAACAGUUCGAAAGAACUGCUAAUACCUCAUGUGAUCACCGGUUUUAGAAUCUGGUGAUUAAAGGUGAAAAUCACUUCGGGAGGGGCCUGCGUCCCAUCAGCUAGUUGGUAAGGUAAUGGCUUACCAAGGCGAUGACGGGUAGGGGACCUGAGAGGGUGGCCCCCCACAAUGGAACUGAAACAACGGUCCAUACACCUACGGGUGGCAGCAGUGGGGAAUUUUGGACAAUGGGCGCAAGCCUGAUCCAGCCAUGCCGCGUGCAGGAUGAAGGGCCUUCGGGUUGUAAACUAGCUUUUGUUACGGAACGAAAAGAACUCUUUCUUAAUAAAGAAGGGUCCGAUGACGGUACCGUAAGAAUAAAGCACCGGCUAACUACGUGCCAGCAGCCGCGGUAAAACGUACUACUG